UACGGGGGGGGCAAGCGUUGUUCGGAAUUACUGGGCGUAAAGCGCGUGUAGGCGGCCAUCUAAGUCGGGCGUGAAAUCCCACGGCUCAACCGUGGAAGUGCACUCGAAACUGGAUGGCUAGAGUCCUGGAGAGGAAGGUGGAAUGCUUGGUGUAGAGGUGAAAUUCGUAGAUAUCAAGCGGAACACCGGUGGCGAAGGCGGCCUUCUGGACAGUGACUGACGCUGAGACGCGAAAGCGUGGGGAGCAAACAGG
RNAcentral lists this ribosomal RNA (253 nucleotides) under uncultured bacterium. Its description in RNAcentral is "partial 16S ribosomal RNA". It matches the Rfam family "Bacterial small subunit ribosomal RNA", at positions 524 to 776 of the family's 1533-position model. The record is from RNAcentral.